UACGUAGGGCGCAAGCGUUGUCCGGAAUUAUUGGGCGUAAAGAGCUCGUAGGCGGUUUGUCGCGUCUGCUGUGAAAACCUAAGGCUCAACCUUGGGCUUGCAGUGGGUACGGGCAGACUAGAGUGCGGUAGGGGUGACUGGAAUUCCUGGUGUAGCGGUGGAAUGCGCAGAUAUCAGGAGGAACACCGAUGGCGAAGGCAGGUCACUGGGCCGCAACUGACGCUGAGGUGCGAAAGCGUGGGGAGCAAACAGG
Molecule: ribosomal RNA, 253 nt
Filed under: uncultured bacterium
Lineage: Bacteria
Description: partial 16S ribosomal RNA
Rfam family: Bacterial small subunit ribosomal RNA
Source: RNAcentral